GUCGAGCGAAUCUGAGGGAGCUUGCUCCCAAAGAUUAGCGGCGGACGGGUGAUUAACACGUGGGCAACCUGCCUGUAAAACUGGGAUAACUCCGGGAAACCGGGGCUAAUACCGGAUAAUAUCUAUUUAUACAUAUAAUUAGAUUGAAAGAUGGUUCUGCUAUCACUUACAGAUGGGCCCGCGGCGCAUUAGCUAUUUGGUGAGGUAACGGCUCACCAAGGCGACAAUGCGUACCCAACCUGAGAGGGUGAUCGGCCACACUGGGACUGAAACACGGCCCAAACUCCUACGGGAGGCAGCAGUAGGGAAUCUUCCGCAAUGGACAAAAGUCUGACGGAGCAACGCCGCGUGAGUGAUGAAGGUUUUCGGAUCGUAAAACUCUGUUGUUAGGGAAAAACAAGUACCGGAGUAACUGCCGGUACCUUGACGGUACCUAACCAAAAAGCCACGGCUAACUACGUGCCAGCAGCCGCGGUAAUACGUAGGUGGCAAGCGUUGUCCGGAAUUAUUGGGCGUAAAGCGCGCGCAGGCGGUUCCUUAAGUCUGAUGUGAAAGCCCACGGCUCAACCGUGGAGGGUCAUUGGAAACUGGGGAACUUGAGUGCAAAAAAGGAAAGUGGAAUUCCAAGUGUAGCGGUGAAAUGCGUAAAGAUUUGGAGGAACACCAGUGGCGAAGGCGACUUUCUGGUCUGUAACUGACGCUGAGGCGCGAAAGCGUGGGGAGCAAACAGGAUUAGAUACCCUGGUAGUCCACGCCGUAAACGAUGAGUGCUAAGUGUUAGAGGGUUUCCGCCCUUUAGUGCUGCAGCAAACGCAUUAAGCACUCCGCCUGGGGAGUACGACCGCAGGUUGAAACUCAAAGAAUUGACGGGGGCCCGCACAGCGGUGGAGCAUGUGGUUAAUUCGAAGCACGCGAAGAACCUUACCAGGUCUUGACUUCUCUGACAUCCUAGAGAUAGGACUUUCCCUUCGGGGGAAGAAUGACAGGUGGUGCAUGGUGUC
This 1001-nucleotide ribosomal RNA is filed under the name Bacillus sp. (in: firmicutes). Its description in RNAcentral is "bacterial SSU rRNA". It matches the Rfam family "Bacterial small subunit ribosomal RNA", at positions 61 to 1053 of the family's 1533-position model. The record is from RNAcentral. Lineage: Bacteria; Bacillati; Bacillota; Bacilli; Caryophanales; Bacillaceae.